This 253-nucleotide ribosomal RNA is filed under the name uncultured bacterium. RNAcentral's name for it is "partial 16S ribosomal RNA". It matches the Rfam family "Bacterial small subunit ribosomal RNA", at positions 524 to 776 of the family's 1533-position model. The record is from RNAcentral.
UACGUAGGGGGCAAGCGUUGUCCGGAAUCAUUGGGCGUAAAGCGCGCGUAGGCGGCCCGGUAAGUCCGCUGUGAAAGUCAAAGGCUCAACCUUUGAAUGCCGGUGGAUACUGUCGGGCUAGAGUCCGGAAGAGGCGAGUGGAAUUCCUGGUGUAGCGGUGGAAUGCGCAGAUAUCAGGAGGAACACCAAUAGCGAAGGCAGCUCGCUGGGACGGUACUGACGCUAAGGCGCGAAAGCGUGGGGAGCAAACGGG